This 497-nucleotide ribosomal RNA is filed under the name uncultured bacterium. Its description in RNAcentral is "partial 16S ribosomal RNA". It matches the Rfam family "Bacterial small subunit ribosomal RNA", at positions 28 to 507 of the family's 1533-position model. The record is from RNAcentral.
GAUGAACGCUGGCGGCGUGCCUAAUACAUGCCAGUCGAGCGAACAGAUGAGGAGCUUGCUCCUCUGACGUUAGCGGCGGACGGGUGAGUAACACGUGGAUAACCUACCUAUAAGACUGGGAUAACUUCGGGAAACCGGAGCUAAUACCGGAUAAUAUAUUGAACCGCAUGGUUCAAUAGCGAAAGCAGGUUUUGCUGUCACUUAUAGAUGGAACCGCGCCGCAUUAGCUAGUUGGUAAGGUAACGGCUUACCAAGGCAACGAUGCGUAGCCGACCUGAGAGGGUGAUCGGCCACACUGGAACUGAGACACGGUCCAGACUCCUACGGGAGGCAGCAGUAGGGAAUCUUCCGCAAUGGGCGAAAGCCUGACGGAGCAACGCCGCGUGAGUGAUGAAGGUCUUCGGAUCGUAAAACUCUGUUAUUAGGGAAGAACAAAUGUGUAAGUAACUAUGCACGUCUUGACGGUACCUAAUCAGAAAGCCACGGCUAACUACGUG